CACCAAUUGCGAAGGCAUAUCACUAACAAUAUACUGACGCUGAUGAACGAAAGCGUAGGUAGCCAACAGGAUUAGAUACCCUGGUAGUCUACGCUGUAAACGAUGGUUACUAGCUGUUUGUCACGCCUUAGGCGAGAUGAGUGGUUAAGCGAAAGUGAUAAGUAACCCACCUGGGGAGUACGUUUGCAAGAAUGAAACUCAAAGGAAUUGACGGGGGCCCGCACAAGCGGUGGAGCAUGUGGUUUAAUUCGAUGAUACGCGAGGAACCUUACCAAGGCUUAAAUGCAUAUUGACGAUUCACGAAAGUGGAUUUUCUUCGGACAAUUUGCAAGGUGCUGCAUGGUUGUCGUCAGCUCGUGCCGUGAGGUGUCAGGUUAAGUCCUAUAACGAGCGCAACCCCUGUGGUUAGUUACCAGCAUGUAAUGAUGGGGACUCUAGCCAGACUGCCGGUGCAAACCGUGAGGAAGGUGGGGAUGACGUCAAAUCAUCACGGCCCUUGCGCCUUGGGCUACACACGUGCUACAAUGGUAUAUACAAUGAGCAGCCAUCUGGCGACAGAGCGCUAAUCUAUAAAGUAUAUCACAGUUCGAAUCGGAGUCUGCAACUCGACUCUGUGAAGCUGGAAUCGCUAGUAAUCGCACAUCAGCCAUGGUGCGGUGAAUACGUUCCCGGGCCUUGUACACACCGCCCGU
This 692-nucleotide ribosomal RNA is filed under the name uncultured bacterium. RNAcentral's name for it is "bacterial SSU rRNA". It matches the Rfam family "Bacterial small subunit ribosomal RNA", at positions 707 to 1397 of the family's 1533-position model. The record is from RNAcentral.